Stomoxys calcitrans (stable fly) is the source of this 177-nucleotide small nuclear RNA. RefSeq annotates it as U4 spliceosomal RNA. The record is from RefSeq and is a predicted model, not a curated record. The transcript has a single exon. Lineage: Eukaryota; Metazoa; Arthropoda; Insecta; Diptera; Muscidae.
UGCUUUGCGCAGAGGCGAUAACGUAACCAAUGAGGUUCUACAGAGGUGCGAUUAUUGCUAGUUGAAAACUUUAACCAAUACCCCGCCAUGGCGACGUGAAAUACCGUCCACUACGGCAAUUUUUGGAAGCCCGAGAUAUGCUAUAUAUCCGUGAUUGGCUAAUGUGCCCAUUUUGGG